This 253-nucleotide ribosomal RNA is filed under the name uncultured bacterium. Its description in RNAcentral is "partial 16S ribosomal RNA". It matches the Rfam family "Bacterial small subunit ribosomal RNA", at positions 524 to 776 of the family's 1533-position model. The record is from RNAcentral. RNAcentral also lists the same sequence under 1 other name.
UACGUAGGGUGCAAGCGUUGUCCGGAAUUAUUGGGCGUAAAGAGCUUGUAGGCGGUUUGUCGCGUCUGCUGUGAAAUUUCGGGGCUCAACCCCGAACUUGCAGUGGGUACGGGCAGACUAGAGUGUGGUAGGGGAGACUGGAAUUCCUGGUGUAGCGGUGAAAUGCGCAGAUAUCAGGAGGAACACCGAUGGCGAAGGCAGGUCUCUGGGCCAUAACUGACGCUGAGAAGCGAAAGCAUGGGGAGCGAACAGG